This 650-nucleotide ribosomal RNA is filed under the name uncultured bacterium. RNAcentral describes it as "bacterial SSU rRNA". It matches the Rfam family "Bacterial small subunit ribosomal RNA", at positions 8 to 652 of the family's 1533-position model. The record is from RNAcentral.
AGAGUUUGAUCCUGGCUCAGAUUGAACGCUGGCGGCAGGCUUAACACAUGCAAGUCGAGCGGAGAUGAGGUGCUUGCACCUUAUCUUAGCGGCGGACGGGUGAGUAAUGCUUAGGAAUCUGCCUAUUAGUGGGGGACAACAUUCCGAAAGGAAUGCUAAUACCGCAUACGUCCUACGGGAGAAAGCAGGGGAUCUUCGGACCUUGCGCUAAUAGAUGAGCCUAAGUCGGAUUAGCUAGUUGGUGGGGUAAAGGCCUACCAAGGCGACGAUCUGUAGCGGGUCUGAGAGGAUGAUCCGCCACACUGGGACUGAGACACGGCCCAGACUCCUACGGGAGGCAGCAGUGGGGAAUAUUGGACAAUGGGGGGAACCCUGAUCCAGCCAUGCCGCGUGUGUGAAGAAGGCCUUAUGGUUGUAAAGCACUUUAAGCGAGGAGGAGGCUACUGAGACUAAUACUCUUGGAUAGUGGACGUUACUCGCAGAAUAAGCACCGGCUAACUCUGUGCCAGCAGCCGCGGUAAUACAGAGGGUGCGAGCGUUAAUCGGAUUUACUGGGCGUAAAGCGUGCGUAGGCGGCUUUUUAAGUCGGAUGUGAAAUCCCCGAGCUUAACUUGGGAAUUGCAUUCGAUACUGGGAAGCUAGAGUAUGGG